RNAcentral lists this unclassified non-coding RNA (654 nucleotides) under Hevea brasiliensis (rubber tree). The record is from RNAcentral. Lineage: Eukaryota; Viridiplantae; Streptophyta; Magnoliopsida; Malpighiales; Euphorbiaceae.
UAAAAUUCAAAAACCAACAACAUGACCAAUCCAAAGCUUUUAAUUUAUAUGUGUAUGAUGAGACUAGAUUUGCAGUCUAACAUUUUAUUAAUCAAUCUAAUCUACAACACUUGAAAUCAAAAAAAAGCCCAAUAGAGAGAGAGGGAGGGCCUUAUUCCAACCAUUUUGUUCAUAGGCAAAAGCUUGAAAACUGUGAAGGAUUGAAAACUACGGCAUCUUAAUUUCAUCAAGCAGGAACUUUCCCUAAGAGUUUGAGGACGGCUUCUUUGGUGGGUAGUGCAGGUAUUGCGCCCCUCUCUGUUACUGUAACAGCACCACAGGCAUUUGCAAAAAGAAGAGCUUCUCUUAACCGCAUCUCAUCCUUCAAUAGACUUAGAUCAGAUGCUAGGCUUCUGAGAAUCCCACCAACAAAGGCAUCACCUGCACCAGUUGUGUCAACAGGUUUCACUUUAACACCAGCAACCUUGCCCUUGAAUUCCUUGGUGUAAUAUCUACAGCCUUCAGAGCCUUCAGUCACAACCAAAAGCUUCAGAUUGGGAUGAAAAAGCUUCUUUAAGACCACAUUAUCAUCAUUAGGAUCAUCACCUCCAGUUAAAAAUGUGAUUUCCUCCUCACUUAUCUUAAUAACAUCAGCUUGUUCCCAUAUACUCAUUA